GGCUCAGUUGGUUUACCCGUUCAAAUUUUGCGAAGCAAAACUUGCGCGGGUAAAGAGUGCUUCAUUCACAUUGAAGAGGUCACAGGUUCGAAUCCUGUC
Molecule: transfer RNA, 99 nt
Filed under: Candidatus Daviesbacteria bacterium
Lineage: Bacteria; Candidatus Daviesiibacteriota
Description: tRNA-Val
Rfam family: tRNA
About the family: Transfer RNA (tRNA) molecules are approximately 80 nucleotides in length. Their secondary structure includes four short double-helical elements and three loops (D, anti-codon, and T loops).
Source: RNAcentral